UACAGAGGGUGCAAGCGUUAAUCGGAAUUACUGGGCGUAAAGCGUGCGUAGACGGUUAUGUAAGUCAGAUGUGAAAGCCCCGGGCUCAACCUGGGAAUUGCAUUUGAGACUGCAUAGCUAGGGUGCGGAAGAGGGAAGCGGUAUUUCCGGUGUAGCGGUGAAAUGCGUAGAUAUCGGAAGGAACACCAGUGGCGAAAGCGGCUUCCUGGUCCAGCACCGACGUUCAGGCACGAAAGCGUGGGGAGCAAACAGG
RNAcentral lists this ribosomal RNA (253 nucleotides) under uncultured bacterium. RNAcentral describes it as "partial 16S ribosomal RNA". It matches the Rfam family "Bacterial small subunit ribosomal RNA", at positions 524 to 776 of the family's 1533-position model. The record is from RNAcentral.